This is a non-coding RNA of Capsicum annuum, 153 nucleotides long. NCBI's taxonomy places the organism in Eukaryota, Viridiplantae, Streptophyta, Magnoliopsida, Solanales, Solanaceae. The record is from Rfam.
CUGCACGUAGCCUCCCGGGCUCAUCUGAAUAUUUUCACUUGAAGCUAGAAGCCCCAAAGCUCGUGCUAUACAUAUCGCCAUUAAGUGUUGCAGUUAUAGCCCCUUUGUACCUUUUAUCCAUGGCUUAUCUGUGUCAAAUCAAUGGCUAAAUCA